AAAACCCCAGCACCAGGCCCCAAGGACCUCACAGGCCCUCCAACGCAACCCCCUGCAGUCCCAGACCAGCCACCCAGAGGAUGCCAGGCCCUCUCCUCCACACCCCUCUCCUUUGGCAUCAGGGCAGAAGAGAUGCCACCUUCUCACGCUCCAGGCCCAGAGCUGAAGGAUGGGAAAGGACAGUCGAUACUACCCCUGAAACUCCACUGUUUUCAGUGACUGCCUCUCCCUUGGCUAACUGUGAGAUGUCAGUAUGCUUUGCUCCUCCUCUGCUGCAGUAGGCAACAGGAUUGUUCCACCCCAGGCAGCUGCAGGGUGCUUGAGAGCCCCCAGCCCCCACUGACCCAUUGCUACUUUCUUGCCACUGCCUCCCAGAAAUGGCCGCAGGCCCCAACUGCCAGCUGCCAUGUUUGGGCCAGCACGUGGCACUCAGAAUCGUUGCCAUGGCCACCCAACUGCCCUCAACCGCAGUCCCUCAGCUGACCCAGCAAGAGGCAGCUGCCUGAUAGAGUCUCUCGUCAAGAGAUACAUUUUAUUUCUUGUUACUUCUGAGGGCGGGAUGGAGCAGCCACCUUUAAAGAAGAGGCGGCUGAUGAAUGAGGCUGAUGACAUCGAGCCCAUGGAGGUGGACCCGCCUGGCAGCAAAGAAGAGCCCAUGGAGGUGGAUCCACCAGCAGAAGAUGAGCUGAUGGAAGUGGAUCCACCUCCAUCGGGGCACACUGCCCAUCUGUCUGCUGCUGCCAGGCCGACUAGGAAGAGGUCGCGCCCCAAAUGUCACCCCAGGGGCGCCAGGAUCCGUCCACCUCCCGCGAAACGGCCGCCUCGACGCUGGCGCUGAUCCUCCCGUCCUCUCCUACGAGCCCUCCCUUCCCGUUCCCCUCCCUUGUCUUUUCCCAAGUCCUCUCAUCUCUUCACACCAAGUCCUGACGAAGAGGGCAGGGCACGGACUGCCAUCCUUGGAGCUGCUGUGCCGGGGCAGUGGGAUGAGUCCGGUGGAGGGACCUCAGCUGCCGGGGGCCUCAAACAUCGCAGGGCGUGACGAUCCUGCAAGGCUCCCAUGUGAGCCCAUCCUUCCCGUUUCCAUCCAUAAUCACUCCCCAGGGGGACAGGAGGAAUAAAAAGAAGUCACAGACGCAGCUGUCCGCAUGGAGAACCAGGCUUUGGUUUGGACAGGAAGCAGUGCAAACUGCAACAAGAAGGUCCAGUCCAGGUGCUGCGUUAGGACUUUCACUUCAAGACUGCACAAUCAACAACUUAGAACAACAUUACCAAAUAAUUAAAAAAAAAAAUCAAAACCACAAUACAAAAUAAACACAUUUUCUUUUUUAAGAAACGAAAGCAGUAGUCGUCUCUCUGUUUUAGGAACCUUCGAGUUUGCACGUAGGUUCCCACGUCCCCUCCUUGCCUCCCGCACACAAAACAUACCCCACAGCAGGACACGCUGCCCUCACUGCCAGCCUGAGGAACAACCACCGCACUGCACACACCACUGAGGCUGUCCCCUUGCCCUGCCUCAGCACCCUCUGCUAUGUGGUGGAGUAUUUCACACACACAUCAACAAGAACACAGGAAAGAGCCCCUUUUGACUCUUGAAUGACACAAUCAGAGAACGCACAGUAUUCCACAUCCUCUCAACAACUGACUGGUUAAUAAAUAGAGAUGCUUGAAAUGAAAACAAGAAUUGGUAUUUGUCAGGACAA
Molecule: long non-coding RNA, 1700 nt
Organism: Gallus gallus (chicken)
Lineage: Eukaryota; Metazoa; Chordata; Aves; Galliformes; Phasianidae
Exons: 3
Source: RefSeq, a predicted model, not a curated record